This 253-nucleotide ribosomal RNA is filed under the name uncultured bacterium. RNAcentral describes it as "partial 16S ribosomal RNA". It matches the Rfam family "Bacterial small subunit ribosomal RNA", at positions 524 to 776 of the family's 1533-position model. The record is from RNAcentral.
UACGUAGGGUGCGAGCGUUGUCCGGAAUUACUGGGCGUAAAGAGCUCGUAGGUGGUUUGUCGCGUUGUUCGUGAAAACUCACAACUCAAUUGUGGGCGUGCGGGCGAUACGGGCAGACUGGAGUACUGCAGGGGAGACUGGAAUUCCUGGUGUAGCGGUGGAAUGCGCAGAUAUCAGGAGGAACACCGGUGGCGAAGGCGGGUCUCUGGGCGGUAACUGACGCUGAGGAGCGAAAGCGUGGGGAGCGAACAGG